GCAGAGAAUACUUUGCCGCAGACUGCGCAACUGCGCCCUGCACUUUCUCCUUUAUUCCUUUUGGUGUUCACAACAGAAUGCGAUCCGCUUUCCCCGCCACGCCCGCCCACGCUGCGUCGUGCCCGCCUUUGGCGCGGGAACGUUUCAUGCGUGGCGUGGCGAGAAUGCCGCUGGGCCGCACCGUGAACGCAGCACGGCUCUGGCCUUACACCAAGCGUUCGUGACUCAUGCAACUACCUGGACUUAGAAUAAAAACAUGACUAUGCAGCUAUGCCUAAUUGCAGUAUGAAACAUGGCAUGCACGUGAUUAGAAACAACAUUUCACCCCCUUAAUCACGCUGCACUUCAAUCACACCAAGUUGCUGUCGUAGCUCCACGAACCUGACACGCCCAAGUGCCUUUGUUAAGAUGUCUGCCAGCUGAUCUGCUGUGCUCACAUGAUCAAUGUCGACAUCCCCUCUUUCAACACAAUCACGAAUGAAAUGGUAUCUUGUGUCUAUAUGUUUGCUUCUAUCAUGGUGAACUGGAUUCUUACUCAAUGCAAUUGCUGAUUUGUUAUCCACCAGAAGUUUCACCUGCGGCGUUGGAAUGCCUAGCAGCCCACCCAGAAGUCUGCUGAGCCAAAUGCCUUGACAAGCAGCGUUGGCACUUGCAAUAUACUCAGCCUCACAUGACGAUAGAGCUACCACCCUUUGCUUCUGAGAUCCCCAAGUCACCAAACUUGUUCCUAACAGAAACACUGAACCACUUGUGCUCUUUCGGUCAUCAACAUCCCCAGCUAAAUCACUGUCACUAUAGCCAGUCAGACUUGUUUCAGAUGUGUUCAGCUUCCUGUAGAUGCAGCCAUAGUUCACAGUACCUGACAGAUACCUGAGAAUCUGUUUCACAGCUGCCCAGUGACUUGCCUUCGGAUCCUCCAUGUACCUGCUAACUAUCCCAACUGAGUAGGCAAUGUCUGGUCUAGUGUUGACCAGAUAUCUCAGACUUCCAAUUACACUUCUAUACUUUGUCUUGUCGACUGAAGGUGUCUUGUCAUUUUUGCUCAGCUUCAACCGAUUUUCCAUGGGCACAUGACAGGGAUUACACCCUUUCAUACCUGUCUGCUCUAGGAUUUUCAGUGUAUACGAACUCUGACAUAGUGAGAUCACCCCCUCCUUUUGUGUUACUUGGAUGCCUAGAUAGUAAGUCAGCAGCCCCAGGUCACUCAUACUAAAACUCUUCAUCAUCUCCUUCUUGAAUGCCUCAAUGUUUGCACUGCUUGGUCCUGUUAUGAUCAGAUCAUCAACAUAAACACCCACCAAGAGAAAACCAUCAGUAUGCUUCCUCCUGUAAACAGCAUGUUCAAGAGGAUUUUUCUCAAAACCAAGCUUGAUCAACUCACUGUCUAAUUUAGCAUUCCAAGCCCUAGGAGCCUGACGCAAGCCAUACAAUGCUUUAUUCAGUCUGAGCACCUUGCCACUGCCUCCCUCGACAACAAAUCCAGGAGGUUGCUGUACAUAUACCUCCUCCAUCAGUUCACCAUUCAAGAAUGCCGACUUCACAUCCAUGUGAUGUACAUUCCAUCCUCUCUGAGCAGCAAGAGCAAUUAAUAAUCUCACUGUUUCUAUCCUUGCCACAGGGGCAAACACUUCUUCAAAAUCCACCCUUCUCUCUGUGCAUACCCUUUCGCAACCAACCUUGCUUUGUGCUUAAUAAUGUUACCAUCUGGAUCUUUCUUCACCUUGAAAACCCAUUUAAGCCCUAUAGCUUUGUGGCCUGCAGGUAGCACUGACAGCACCCAAGUCUUGUUUGACUGAAUGGAGUUCAUUUCAGUCAUCAUGGCUUCCCUCCAGCACUGUUCUGACAGGGCUACCUCCACACUUCUUGGCUCCUCUGCUGCAUGGAAACACACACCACUAUACUCGAAAUCAUGAAUUUCUUCAGUUGUAUCAUAUAAAUCAGAUAGAUUUCUGUAACCUGUUGGAACCCCUUCAGUGUUACUAGACCAUUCUAACUGUGGUGUUUCUGAAAAUUCUCCAUGUGCAGGACUCCCUACAGGCGUGUGUGGAGUUGAUCCUCCAUGUGAACUAGUGCCAGCACUCCACUCACCUUGAGCUGGUGAAUUCUGAACUGAAUCACCAGAAAAUUCUGCGUCCUCUCCUUCAGUUACUGCUGCUUCAGUUACAGUUCUCUGUCUGGCAGCAGAAUAGAACUCCACAUCGAACACUGAACUGACUGGUUCAUUACCAGCCUCUUGCUUCCAGUCCCAAGCCUGUCCUUCCUCAAAGAUUACAUCUCGGGAUAUGUGAAGUUUCUUAGCUACAGGAUCAUAGACUCUAUAACCCUUUGUGCCACUUUCAUAACCAAUAAACACCAUUUUGGUGGACCUGUCAGAGAGCUUAGAAAUCCCUGGCCCAACUUUCUUCACAUAAACAACACAACCAAAUGUGCGUAAGUGAUGUACCUUGGGCUUCUUAUUGUACCAGGCUUCAUAUGGUGUACGGUCUUGCAAGCUCUUUGUUGGAGAACGGUUCAACAGAUAAACUGCAGUUGACACCGCUUCUCCCCAAAAUUCAGCUGGCAUGCCCUUGCUCUUCAGCAAACAUCUUGCCAUCUCUGCCACCGUACGGUUCCGGCGCUCGACGACGCCAUUCUGUUGGGGUGUGUACGGUGCUGUAGUGAAAUGCUUGAUGCCGUGUUCGUCGCAGUACUCCUUGAACUCGAUGGAAUUAAAUUCCCCGCCACGAUCGCUACGGAACGCGCGAAGCUUCAAAGCACGCUCAGUUUCAGCUAAUGCCUUCACCCGCUUGAAACACUUGAACGCCUCAUCCUUUGUUGUCAGGAGUUCAACCCACAUGAAACGACUGAAAUCGUCAACAAUUAACAGGAAAUAGCCCUUACCACCUGGUGUCUUUGGUCUGAUCUGGCCACAGAGAUCUGCGUGAACCAGGUCAAGUCCUUUCUUGGCUCGAUAAUUCGCCACCUGAGGGAAUGAGUGUCGCUGAUGCUUGCCCAAUGCACAGCCAUCACACACUUCUUCUGCACGAUUUAACAGUGGUAUCCCAUCCACCAUUCCCUUUUGUCCGAGCUCUCUGAGUGCUCUGAAAUUGAGAUGGCCAUACCGGCCAUGCCAGAGCCAGGCUUGAUCAUCUGCCUUCGCCUUCAGACAGACUGGAGCAGUCAGGUGCGUCUUCAGCAGAUAGAGACGAUUUGACACUCGCGGUGCGCGCGCCAAGAGCAAGCGCUCAACGUCGUACACAUUGCAGUAUCCGUUCUCCAAUAUUACCUUGCAUCCUCCCUCUUCCAAUUGACCUAGGCUCACAAUAUUACUUUUUAGCUUGGGAAUGUAAUAUACCUCUGUUAGCACCUUGUGACCCUCCUUCGUCUGGAGCACCACCGAUCCGAUGCCCUCGAUCUCUACGAGCGAGCCGUCGCCAAAACGCACUGUGCCACGCACAAACUUGUCUAGCGAUGCGAGUGCCUCGUGCCUCCCUGUCAUGUGGUUGCUAGCCCCCGUAUCGAGGACCCAAACAUUCUUGUCUUCAUCAUUGUGCGCCGGGAACACCUUCUUCUCGUUGAGGUGCACAACUUGCUGUGUCGUGCGCACACCUGAUGGCUUGAGGUCGAACGGCGCCCUGUGAACACGCACCGUGGCCACCGUCGCCAGAAGCAGGAAGGGAUUUCCUGCUCUGUCUGCGCGACAAUUGCCUCCUCCUUGCGUUCCUUCUUGGGUGGCCGCUUGCAGUCUACACGCCAGUGGCCGUAGAUGCCACAGUUCCUGCAACGGCCUUUCCGCCGCGGAGUACCCUCCGUCGUCAGCUUCACGGGGCUGCCCUUCUUGUCACCACGGCCGCCGGUCUUUGACUUGCCGGGAUUGUACCCCGACUUCUUCUCCCCACCGCUCGACGACGACGAAUCUGGCAGGAGACGAUGUCGAUUUCUUGACACCCAGUCCUCCUCCGUCAACAAUAGUCGCCGCGUCUUGUCAGUGACAGUUUCGGCCUCGAUCCGGUCCUCAGCCAUCCUGAGACGGCCGACCAGCUCCUCGACCGUCAGGGUCUUCAGAUCGAGUAGGGUUUCGAUCGAGAUCGCGAUCUGGGCGUAGCGUUGGGGUAGCACACGCAACAUCUUCUUCACGACCCGAGUGUCUUCAAUCUCCUCCCCGGACGUGCGUAGAUCCGCCGCCAGUGCAUUGAUGCGCAUCGCGAAAUCGUCCACCGAUUCGCCGUCACUGAAAGCGAUGUUCUCAAACUCCUUCAAUAGGCGUUGUGCAUUCGCCUCCUUCACGCGCUCUGCUCCCACACGCAUGCUCUUCACCGCCGACCAUGCUUCCUUCACUGUCCUCUUGGACCCAAGCAUUUGCCACAUCUCCUUCGGUACAGACCGCAGCAGACAGCCCAUGGCCAAUCUGUCCUGCGAUCUCCUGACGCCGUCACCUCCAGGCUCGAUCACCUCCCACACCUCCAUAGCUUCAUAGUUACACUGCAUGAGCAUCGCCCACUCCGAGUAAUUUGAGCGGGUGAGCAUCGGCCACAUCAGUGAACUCUCGCGAACACCGCUCGCCGACGAACUGCGCUCAUUUCCGCUGCCGGAUGUCUCCACUCUUCGGGGCUCACGCAGUGGACUCACGGAACCACUACAGAGGAUACGACGAGGCUUUGAUACCAGUUGUUGGCGCCGGCCACCGGAGUUUGGAGCUGGACGGCGAUCAGCGGCGGCUCUGUUUUUUCACCUGAUGAAAAAACCACUCAACAGAACAGAGGCUGGUGAGUACGCAGAGAAUACUUUGCCGCAGACUGCGCAACUGCGCCCUGCACUUUCUCCUUUAUUCCUUUUGGUGUUCACAACAGAAUGCGAUCCGCUUUCCCCGCCACGCCCGCCCACGCUGCGUCGUGCCCGCCUUUGGCGCGGGAACGUUUCAUGCGUGGCGUGGCGAGAAUGCCGCUGGGCCGCACCGUGAACGCAGCACGGCUCUGGCCUUACACCAAGCGUUCGUGACUCAUGCAACUACCUGGACUUAGAAUAAAAACAUGACUAUGCAGCUAUGCCUAAUUGCAGUAUGAAACAUGGCAUGCUCGUGAUUAGAAACAACAUUUCACCCCCUUAAUCACGCUGCACUUCAAUCACACCAAGUUGCUGUCGCAGCUCCACGAACCUGACACGCCCAAGUGCCUUUGUUAAGAUGUCUGCCAGCUGAUCUGCUGUGCUCACAUGAUCAAUGUCGACAUCCCCUCUUUCAACACAAUCACGAAUGAAAUGGUAUCUUGUGUCUAUAUGUUUGCUUCUAUCAUGGUGAACUGGAUUCUUACUCAAUGCAAUUGCUGAUUUGUUAUCCACCAGAAGUUUCACCUGCGGCGUUGGAAUGCCUAGCAGCCCACCCAGAAGUCUGCUGAGCCAAAUGCCUUGACAAGCAGCAUUGGCACUUGCAAUAUACUCAGCCUCACAUGACGAUAGAGCUACCACCCUUUGCUUCUGAGAUCCCCAAGUCACCAAACUUGUUCCUAACAGAAACACUGAACCACUUGUGCUCUUUCGGUCAUCAACAUCCCCAGCUAAAUCACUGUCACUAUAGCCAGUCAGACUUGUUUCAGAUGUGUUCAGCUUCCUGUAGAUGCAGCCAUAGUUCACAGUACCUGACAGAUACCUGAGAAUCUGUUUCACAGCUGCCCAGUGACUUGCCUUCGGAUCCUCCAUGUACCUGCUAACUAUCCCAACUGAGUAGGCAAUGUUUGGUCUAGUGUUGACCAGAUAUCUCAGACUUUCAAUUACACUUCUAUACUUUGUCUUGUCGACUGAAGGUGUCUUGUCAUUUUUGCUCAGCUUCAACCGAUUUUCCAUGGGCACAUGACAGGGAUUACACCCUUUCAUACCUGUCUGCUCUAGGAUUUUCAGUGUAUACGAACUCUAACAUAGUGAGAUCACCCCCUCCUUUUGUGUUACUUGGAUGCCUAGAUAGUAAGUCAGCAGCCCCAGGUCACUCAUACUAAAACUCUUCAUCAUCUCCUUCUUGAAUGCCUCAAUGUUUGCACUGCUUGGUCCUGUUAUGAUCAGAUCAUCAACAUAAACACCCACCAAGAGAAAACCAUCAGUAUGCUUCCUCCUGUAACCAGCAUGUUCAAGAGGAUUUUUCUCAAAACCAAGCUUGAUCAACUCACUGUCUAAUUUAGCAUUCCAAGCCCUAGGAGCCUGACGCAAGCCAUACAAUGCUUUAUUCAGUCUGAGCACCUUGCCACUGCCUCCCUCGACAACAAAUCCAGGAGGUUGCUGUACAUAUACCUCCUCCAUCAGUUCACCAUUCAAGAAUGCCGACUUCACAUCCAUGUGAUGUACAUUCCAUCCUCUCUGAGCAGCAAGAGCAAUUAAUAAUCUCACUGUUUCUAUCCUUGCCACAGGGGCAAACACUUCUUCAAAAUCCACCCCUUCUCUCUGUGCAUACCCUUUCGCAACCAACCUUGCUUUGUGCUUAAUAAUGUUACCAUCUGGAUCUUUCUUCACCUUGAAAACCCAUUUAAGCCCUAUAGCUUUGUGGCCUGUAGGUAGCACUGACAACACCCAAGUCUUGUUUGACUGAAUGGAGUUCAUUUCAGUCAUCAUGGCUUCCCUCCAGCACUGUUCUGACAGGGCUACCUCCACACUUCUUGGCUCCUCUGCUGCAUGGAAACACACACCACUAUACUCGAAAUCAUGAAUUUCUUCAGUUGUAUCAUAUAAAUCAGAUAGAUUUCUGUAACCUGUUGGAACCCCUUCAGUGUUACUAGACCAUUCUAACUGUGGUGUUUCUGAAAAUUCUCCAUGUGCAGGACUCCCUACAGGCGUGUGUGGAGUUGAUCCUCCAUGUGAACUAGUGCCAGCACUCCACUCACCUUGAGCUGGUGAAUUCUGAACUGAAUCACCAGAAAAUUCUGCGUCCUCUCCUUCAGUUACUGCUGCUUCAGUUACAGUUCUCUGUCUGGCAGCAGAAUAGAACUCCACAUCGAACACUGAACUGACUGGUUCAUUACCAGCCUCUUGCUUCCAGUCCCAAGCCUGUCCUUCCUCAAAGAUUACAUCUCGGGAUAUGUGAAGUUUCUUAGCUACAGGAUCAUAGACUCUAUAACCCUUUGUGCCACUUUCAUAACCAAUAAACACCAUUUUGGUGGACCUGUCAGAGAGCUUAGAAAUCCCUGGCCCAACUUUCUUCACAUAAACAACACAACCAAAUGUGCGUAAGUGAUGUACCUUGGGCUUCUUAUUGUACCAGGCUUCAUAUGGUGUACGGUCUUGCAAGCUCUUUGUUGGAGAACGGUUCAACAGAUAAACUGCAGUUGACACCGCUUCUCCCCAAAAUUCAGCUGGCAUGCCCUUGCUCUUCAGCAAACAUCUUGCCAUCUCUGCCACCGUACGGUUCCGGCGCUCGACGACGCCAUUCUGUUGGGGUGUGUACGGUGCUGUAGUGAAAUGCUUGAUGCCGUGUUCGUCGCAGUACUCCUUGAACUCGAUGGAAUUAAAUUCCCCGCCACGAUCGCUACGGAACGCGCGAAGCUUCAAAGCACGCUCAGUUUUAGCUAAUGCCUUCACCCGCUUGAAACACUUGAACGCCUCAUCCUUUGUUGUCAGGAGUUCAACCCACAUGAAACGACUGAAAUCGUCAACAAUUAACAGGAAAUAGCUCUUACCACCUGGUGUCUUUGGUCUGAUCUGGCCACAGAGAUCUGCGUGAACCAGGUCAAGUCCUUUCUUGGCUCGAUAAUUCGCCACCUGAGGGAAUGAGUGUCGCUGAUGCUUGCCCAAUGCACAGCCAUCACACACUUCUUCUGCACGAUUUAACAGUGGUAUCCCAUCCACCAUUCCCUUUUGUCCGAGCUCUCUGAGUGCUCUGAAAUUGAGAUGGCCAUACCGGCCAUGCCAGAGCCAGGCUUGAUCAUCUGCCUUCGCCUUCAGACAGACUGGAGCAGUCAGGUGCGUCUUCAGCAGAUAGAGACGAUUUGACACUCGCGGUGCGCGCGCCAAGAGCAAGCGCUCAACGUCGUACACAUUGCAGUAUCCGUUCUCCAGUAUUACCUUGCAUCCUCCCUCUUCCAAUUGACCUAGGCUCACAAUAUUACUUUUUAGCUUGGGAAUGUAAUAUACCUCUGUUAGCACCUUGUGACCCUCCUUCUUCGUCUGGAGCACCACCGAUCCGAUGCCCUCGAUCUCUACGAGCGAGCCGUCGCCAAAACGCACUGUGCCGCGCACAGACUUGUCUAGCGAUGCGAGUGCCUCGUGCCUCCCUGUCAUGUGGUUGCUAGCCCCCGUAUCGAGGACCCAAACAUUCUUGUCUUCAUCACUGUGCGUCGGGAACACCUUCUUCUCGUUGAGGUGCACAACUUGCUGUGUCGUGCGCACACCUGAUGGCUUGAGGUCGAACGGCGCCCUGUGAACACGCACCGUGGCCACCGUCGCCAGAAGCAGGGAGGGAUUCUCCUGCUCUAUCUGCGCGACAUUUGCCUCCUCCUUGCGUUCCUUCUUCGGUGGCCGCUUGCAGUCUACACGCCAGUGGCCGUAGAUGCCACAGUUCCUGCAACGGCCUUUCCGCCGCGGAGUACCCUCCGUCGUCAGCUUCACGGGGCUGCCCUUCUUGUCACCACGGCCGCCGGUCUUCGACUUGCCGGGAUUGUACCCCGACUUCUUCUCCCCACCGCUCGACGACGACGAAUCUGGCAGGAGACGAUGUCGAUUUCUUGACACCUAGUCCUCCUCCGUCAACAAUAGUCGCCCCGUCUUGUCAGUGACAGUUUCGGCCUCGAUCCGGUCCUCAGCCAUCCUGAGACGGCCGACCAGCUCCUCGACCGUCAGGGUCUUCAGAUCGAGUAGGGUUUCGAUCGAGAUCGCGAUCUGGGCGUAGCGUUGGGGUAGCACGCGCAGCAUCUUCUUCACGACCCGAGUGUCUUCAAUCUCCUCCCCGGACGUGCGUAGAUCCGCCGCCAGUGCAUUGAUGCGCAUCGCGAAAUCGUCCACCGAUUCGCCGUCACUGAAAGCGAUGUUCUCAAACUCCUUCAAUAGGCGUUGUGCAUUCGCCUCCUUCACGCGCUCUGCUCCCACACGCAUGCUCUUCACCGCCGACCAUGCUUCCUUCACUGUCCUCUUGGACCCAAGCAUUUGCCACAUCUCCUUUGGUACAGACCGCAGCAGACAGCCCAUGGCCAAUCUGUCCUGCGAUCUCCUGACGCCGUCACCUCCAGGCUCGAUCACCUCCCACACCUCCAUAGCUUCAUAGUUACACUGCAUGAGCAUCGCCCACUCCGAGUAAUUUGAGCGGGUGAGCAUCGGCCACAUCAGUGAACUCUCGCGAACACCGCUCGCCGACGAACUGCGCUCAUUUCCGCUGCCGGAUGUCUCCACUCUUCGGGGCUCACGCAGUGGACUCACAGAACCACUACAGAGGAUACGACGAGGCUUUGAUACCAGUUGUUGGCGCCGGCCACCGGAGUUUGGAGCUGGACGGCGAUCAGCGGCGGCUCUGUUUUUUCACCUGAUGAAAAAACCACUCAACAGAACAGAGGCUGGUGAGUACGCAGAGAAUACUUUGCCGCAGACUGCGCAACUGCGCCCUGCACUUUCUCCUUUAUUCCUUUUGGUGUUCACAACAGAAUGCGAUCCGCUUUCCCCGCCACGCCCGCCCACGCUGCGUCGUGCCCGCCUUUGGCGCGGGAACGUUUCAUGCGUGGCGUGGCGAGAAUGCCGCUGGGCCGCACCGUGAACGCAGCACGGCUCUGGCCUUACACCAAGCGUUCGUGACUCAUGCAACUACCUGGACUUAGAAUAAAAACAUGACUAUGCAGCUAUGCCUAAUUGCAGUAUGAAACAUGGCAUGCUCGUGAUUAGAAACAACACC
RNAcentral lists this long non-coding RNA (9832 nucleotides) under Zea mays. RNAcentral describes it as "long non-coding RNA (ZMAY_LNC002943)". The record is from RNAcentral. Lineage: Eukaryota; Viridiplantae; Streptophyta; Magnoliopsida; Poales; Poaceae.